CCUACGUGCGUCUGCAGUGGGGAAUAUUGCUCAAUGGGGGCAACCCUGAUGCAGCGACGCCGCGUGAGUGAAGAAGUCAUUCGUUAUUUUAAGCUCUUUCAGUAGGGAAGAAAAUGACGGUACCUGAGUAAGAAGCCCCGGCUAAUUACGUGCCAGCAGCCGUGGUAAUACGUAGGGGGCAGGCGUUAUCCGGAUUUACUGGGUGUAAAGGGAGCGUAGACGGUUGUGCAAGUCUGUAGUGAAAGGUUGGAGUUCAACCCCCGGACUGCUCUGGAUACUGUACGGCUGGAGUGCAGGAGAGGUAAGUGGAAUUCGUAGUGUAGCGGUGAAAUGCGUAGAUAUUAGGAAGAACACCAGUGGCGAAGGCAGCUUACUGGACUGUAACUGACGUUGAGGCUCGAAAGCGUGGGGAGCAAACAGGAUUAGAUACCCUGGUAGUC
Molecule: ribosomal RNA, 440 nt
Filed under: uncultured bacterium
Lineage: Bacteria
Description: partial 16S ribosomal RNA
Rfam family: Bacterial small subunit ribosomal RNA
Source: RNAcentral